This 385-nucleotide transfer-messenger RNA is filed under the name chicken gut metagenome. It matches the Rfam family "transfer-messenger RNA". Rfam says of the family: Bacterial tmRNA, also known as 10Sa RNA or SsrA, is named for its dual tRNA and mRNA-like properties. The record is from RNAcentral.
GGGCCUGUUUUGGAUUUGAUUGCAAGCGGAGUUUGUCGGACGCACGCCGGAGGCUCGGCUCCGUAAAAACGGAAACAAAUUUAAAUGCUGAUACCAAAAGAUCGGCUGUUGCGCGCAGAGCAUCCGCUCGCCGCGUAGCUCUCGCGGCUUAACCUUUUAAGCCCCGUCCUGCCCCGAUUGCCUACGGUCGGGAACAGGGCGUCAAAAAAGUAGGGAACCUCCUCGGGGGAAACACUUCCGUUCCCCGAGAGGAUCGCAGGGAAGUAUGCCCAAGGCGCAGGUUGUCUGUGAACUGCCUGCGGGCGAGAUCCGAUCACAGACUAAGCGUGUAGUGUCCGCAGACGAACCUUGUAAGACCGCAGUUCGAUUCUGCGCAGGUCCACCA